UAGUGAACUUCCUCUCUUCUUCCAAUGUGUGGAACCCAUGGAGUCACUAGCUGCAAGUGAGUGACGGCCAUUUUGGCGAGUUAAGUCAAGUGUAUUCUAUAUACACUUGGUUUUCCGUCCUAACAUGACUCAAGGUCUGCAGAAUCUACUAGAUGGAAUUCAACCUGCUUCAAAAAAAGCAGCUAUUGCUUGGACUCUUGAGUAUGGCCUUUUACACGCUGAUAAAUACCGUCGUUAUCAUCGGAACCCGAUUACGUUAUGUGACGAGGCAAAGCACAGGUUUGGUUGAUUUCCGUAAAAAAAGCAGACCAUAUAAUAUGUAACCACGAUUAAUUUUUUGAGGAAAUUCCCUUGCCUGUUGACAAAGCGGUCAUAUUGAUAUACUGUUCUGCUCAAGACUUUUCAUGCAUGGAUACCGUUCAUGAAUUGAGCUAUUUCACAUUAGGCAAUGACUUUGUGGUACUACUAUCAUUCACAACAAUUGCUGUGUGGUUCUAUUAUCAUUGAGAGAUGAUAGUGAAACACUUUUUAAAUAUAAUGUGGGGAAACUGAAAUUACAGGAGGAUUUCGGGAGUUUGAUCUUCAACCAUUGCUCAGAUCGACCAAGCUAAAUUGGACAAACAAAAAUAUAAUCGUGGCAGCGGAGUUGUAAGUCAUUGAAUUUUGGGUCUGGUAAAUACCCCCCCCCCCCCCAAGGAAAGAAAAAAGACAGAUGGUAUUAGUGUUAAAUGCUAAGAUGAAGACAUUAGUUUUAGCAAUAAAAGGAAAUGUUGUCGUCAAUAGUGAAAUCUAUAUCUACUAUUUCAAAAGUUAUGCCAUACCAAUCCCAGAGGGAUACCUACUUAAGAUAGUCAAUCAUAAUGUAGAUUUUGUAGGUAAGCUAGGAUUGAUUUUACUUUGGUUCUUGAUGAUAUGAAAAAAAAAAAAAAAAAAAAAUAGAAUCCAAUUGGCGGCCAGCUAAGAAUUGGAUGAGAUGAAGAGGUCGCUUACAUGAAUUUGCUGAUCGCUUGUGCCAAUUUUUGUAGCGACGAUUUUGUCGUCAUAACAACAUCGAUUUGAUGGCAUCGUUGAUAGAAGCGACCCGAAGACAAUAACAAGAGUGUGCUGCAUGAGUUUUCGUAAUGCUCAACUCACGAAAUGCUAUAUAGUAUUCUGUAUCUAUGUACUUCCAUGGCAGUAUCACGUAAACUUGUGACUUAGAUUAUAAAAAAAGAAAGUCGAGCCAUAACUCAACUCUUAACUUUCUUUUAUCAAACUUCAUUAUAAAUUCAAUGAUUACAAUAGUCUUACAGAGGUAGUAUAAUGUACUGAAUCAGAGAAAGGCUGAACAAGAACUGCCUGAGCUUGCUGAAGUCUCAGCUUAUGUAUGUUUUGGUUUGGGGAUGUUGAGAGGCUCGGUGUAGGUUAUGAUGAUAAGGUUGUGUCGUGUGCAAAAGAGUCCGAAGGUAGGGGAGGAAGUCUUAGCCUACACGCUAUCUGCCGAUCGCGCGAGCCAUAGUAGGCAAGUUCAGUCGCGCGCCAUGCCAUUCAUCUGUUCAGCCGUGUGCCCGAACUGGCGCAAAAUGUAUACUUCUUAUGACAUGUAUAUUUAGGGGCUACAAAAGGAAUUGUGAAAUAAUAAACAAGGUUUGAGGACAAAUAGUGUUUUUAAGAUGUCUAGGGCGUAAUCAUGAUCAAUUGAUCAGUUAACAAAAACAAUUUAUUAUUUCAAAGUGGAUAAUGAAUCACUAGCAAUUUGCAAAUUACCACGAGUCAGACACGUGGGUUCCGUUUAUGGCACAAAUUCUUUACUACGAGUCUGACACGUGGUUUUCGCUUAUGGCACAAAUCCCUUACAACGAGUCUUCCUCGACGUUAUAGGCUAAGGAGUUAAGGUAUGGUCGAUGUCACAACAGCAAGUAGCGAACAAACGUUCGUUCGAAGUAUUGUUUGAAAUAUCGUGAACUAUUACGAGUUAUUUACAAGUAAAUAUAGAAAUAAUCUGUCAGCAAAUAAAGUUGAGGGGAAAUAAUAUACAUGUCAUGAGUUAUUCAAAAAUAAAAAAAACAAUCUUGUUGUAUAAGUCGACAUUGUGAAGAUCGAUAGAUCUCACGCGCAUGAAACGUGGAUGUAAGCGGCGAAUAAUAAUUGUAAUUCGAAACACUCAGCAGCUAGCUGCGAAUAUUGCAUUUAUGUGUGUCAACGUGUACAACUGGUGUUUGUAGUAUAUCAAGUUAUUUUCCUUCGAAUAGUUAUUUCUAUUUUCAUAAUAAUAAUAAUUUCUUUUCAUUUAAGUAAA
Molecule: long non-coding RNA, 2278 nt
Organism: Bombus pyrosoma
Lineage: Eukaryota; Metazoa; Arthropoda; Insecta; Hymenoptera; Apidae
Exons: 6
Source: RefSeq, a predicted model, not a curated record